Molecule: ribosomal RNA, 257 nt
Filed under: uncultured bacterium
Lineage: Bacteria
Description: partial 16S ribosomal RNA
Rfam family: Bacterial small subunit ribosomal RNA
Source: RNAcentral
AAACGUAGGAGACAAACGUUAUCCGGAUUUACUGGGCGUAAAGCGUGUGCAGGUGGCCUGUUAAGUGGUGUAUGAAAAUCGCCCGGCUCAACCCGGGCGGGGUUAUGCCAGACUGGCAGGCUAGAGGGUGGGAGAGGGAUGUGGAAUUCCGGGUGUAGAGGUGAAAUUCGUAGAUAUCGGGAGGAACACCAGUGGCGAAGGCGACUACCUGGCCUGUUCUUGACGCUGAGGCGCGAAAGCCAGGGGAGCAAAACGGG